Molecule: unclassified non-coding RNA, 446 nt
Filed under: Fusarium neocosmosporiellum
Lineage: Eukaryota; Fungi; Ascomycota; Sordariomycetes; Hypocreales; Nectriaceae
Description: sequence contains 18S rRNA gene, ITS1, 5.8S rRNA gene, ITS2, 28S rRNA gene
Rfam family: 5.8S ribosomal RNA (bases 122-275)
Source: RNAcentral
AACUUACCUAUAACGUUGCUUCGGCGGGAACAGACGGCCCCGUAAAACGGGCCGCCCCCGCCAGAGGACCCCUAACUCUGUUUUUAUAAUGUUUUUCUGAGUAAACAAGCAAAUAAAUUAAAACUUUCAACAACGGAUCUCUUGGCUCUGGCAUCGAUGAAGAACGCAGCGAAAUGCGAUAAGUAAUGUGAAUUGCAGAAUUCAGUGAAUCAUCGAAUCUUUGAACGCACAUUGCGCCCGCCAGUAUUCUGGCGGGCAUGCCUGUUCGAGCGUCAUUACAACCCUCAGGCCUCCGGGCCUGGCGUUGGGGAUCGGCGGAGCCCCCCGUGGGCACACGCCGUCCCCCAAAUACAGUGGCGGUCCCGCCGCAGCUUCCAUUGCGUAGUAGCUAACACCUCGCAACUGGAGAGCGGCGCGGCCACGCCGUAAAACACCCAACUUCUGAA